This 663-nucleotide ribosomal RNA is filed under the name Triticum aestivum (bread wheat). RNAcentral describes it as "partial small subunit ribosomal RNA". The record is from RNAcentral. Lineage: Eukaryota; Viridiplantae; Streptophyta; Magnoliopsida; Poales; Poaceae.
AUGCAACGUAUCCCCAAGAGAUUCUACAAAGAUGUAGACAAAGCGCGGCGUCGGUUCUUGUGGGAACAAGACGAGGAGGUCACCGGAGGUAGAUGCAAAGUCAACUGGCAACUUGUCACGUCCCCGAUCGAGCAUGGCGGCCUCGGCAUCCCCAACAUGGAGCGGUUCGCGCGCGCCUUGCGCCUCCGCUGGCUUUGGCUGGUGUGGAUAGACCCGGCCAGGCCAUGGAUCCACCUGGAGUUGCCCUGUGACGGCAACGAUAGAGCACUCUUCGCCUCGGCCACGACGGUGACAGUGGGCGAUGGCAACCGAGCGCUCUUCUGGCACUGCUCCUGGCUCGGCGAGCAACCGCUGCGGCAAGAUUACCCCGACCUAUUCAGGCGCUCAACAAGGAAGAAUCGCACUGUCGCGGAGGCGUUACGCGACGACAGAUGGAUCAUGGACCUCAGGCGCAGCAGCAGCCUGGAAGUCAUCCCCCAGGUCGUGCUGCUGCAGCGACGCAUCAGAGAAGCCAACUUGGCGCUGCAUGGAGGGACCGAGGAUAAGAUUACCUGGAAAGCCGGUGGAGACUACACGGCGAGGUCAGCGUUGUUGGAACCCAUGAAUGCACAAACACUCAUAGAAAUGGAGGAGGCCGGAGGUAGAAGAACAAUAAACAGUUGA